CCAACUCCAGUUUCCAAACUGAGUUGCUGGAAUGUUCAUUCUGGAAUCACUCCCAAGCCCAAGAACAUCCUGCAUCGGUAUAAUUGCAAUACGGGCUACAGAAGAAACUGCACCUUCGAUCAAGCCCCAUGAUAUAUCCUCUUCCUCAAUAUUUGAUAAAUACUUUAGUACAUUGGAUUUCUCUUCCUGUGGCAAAUUAUCCCACCAACCUCGGAUUGUAUCAUUGUCAUGCGUUCCAGUAUACACUACUUGGUUCUGCUCAUGAUUGUGAGGCAAAUGAGGGUUUUCAGCAUCACUGCCAAAUGCAAACUGGAGUACAGCCAUUCCAGGUGCCUCAAUGGACUUUCUUAGCUGAACAACGUCCUCGGUAAUUACUCCCAAGUCUUCUGCUAUAAUAUUGAUCUUCCCAACAGCUUGUAAGAUAGCAUCAAACAAAGGUUUUCCAGGUCCCACCUUCCAC
RNAcentral lists this unclassified non-coding RNA (460 nucleotides) under Hevea brasiliensis (rubber tree). The record is from RNAcentral. Lineage: Eukaryota; Viridiplantae; Streptophyta; Magnoliopsida; Malpighiales; Euphorbiaceae.